This is a non-coding RNA of Paramuricea clavata, 530 nucleotides long. The record is from the annotation of a GenBank genome assembly. NCBI's taxonomy places the organism in Eukaryota, Metazoa, Cnidaria, Anthozoa, Malacalcyonacea, Plexauridae.
GUACAUCAUUUUCAUUCUAUAUUGAACUGGAGCCAGAGGUUCUCGUAUCUUCCGCCCUGCAACCAGGGUAAUAUAGAGUACUGCUAUGAUGGUUAUGCAUUCUGUUUAUAAUUUGAUUAUUUGUACACUCACGUAAUGUUUCUGACCAGUAUUAAAAUGCAUGUCAUGCUCUUGUUUUCCACUUCGCCCGUAACGAAUAAAAAAAAUUUCAAUUAAAUUUUGAGUGAAUGUUGAUUGGUUAACACCAAUGCCAAAAUGUGAAUUUAUCAACCUAUUUUCAAUCUACGCAUGCUCGCCAGAACGUUUCGGUAAGGUAUGGGCGAAGUCGGAGGUGGAAAACAGAUAUAUAUAUAUAUAUAUAUACCUAUUACCUAAUCAACAAAAUUUUGAUCUAGACAAGUCUACACAAAAAUUUUAUCACAGCUUGAAAGAGCAUCACAAAAUUAGUAAUAUUUCGAAGUUUCGUUGCGAAAUGUUGUAAAAUGCGGAUAAUAUAGCCCUGCGAAGUUUGCCGUUUUUCAGUCAUUUUG